Long non-coding RNA from Lathyrus oleraceus (garden pea), 1302 nucleotides. RefSeq lists it as uncharacterized. Lineage: Eukaryota; Viridiplantae; Streptophyta; Magnoliopsida; Fabales; Fabaceae. The record is from RefSeq and is a predicted model, not a curated record. The transcript is spliced from 2 exons.
UGUUGGGCCUGAAAGAUUGGUGUUGGGAUUAUGAUUCAACAAGCUCAAUUUUGGUUGUUGGUUGUGAUCUCAGAAAGGAAGUGCGCAUUAGUCAAUUGGGGGUGUUGUGUAGUAAUACUAAUGGUAUUUGUGGAUUUGAGGCCCAACACGAAGCCAAGCCUGAGUGGAGUGAGAUCCUUCAACAAUUUUCAUUUUCAUUUCGUCGUGUUCUAGUUUUUCUCUCUGUGUUUCACUUAUGCCUCUCACCGAAGCUUGCUCCACCGUCUCGGCACCGACAGAGCUGAGCUAAAACAGCCAAUAGUACCACCAUUCAAAAACUUGUGUCCUCCUCUUUCUCAAUCUAGCGUUAAUCUCAUCCAAAAUUCAAGCCAUUCUCAAAAUCUAACCAAAUCAGUCAAGAACCCUAAAUGCUAAGAAGUGAAACUAAACGAAGAAUGAGGGGAAUCAAGCCACUUCACCUUGGGGAUUUGAUUCCCAUCAAUGGAAGCUACAUUAUGGUGAAGAGAUCGAAGCAAAUAGAGGUAGAGAAGGACGAUAUAACAGCGAGACAGUGAUUCGUCUCGAAGAUUGUUGAAGCAAAGAAGAGGAAGAUGAAGCAAGAACACUAGAGACUCUUCAAUGUGAUUCAAGAGGAAAUCGAUAAGGGAAGAAACCAGACAAAGAUACAUGAGCAGGAGAGAAAAAGAAGAUUUUGCAAAUCUCUUGUCCAUACGCGUAUGAGGGGUCUCAUAUGUGUAUAGCCACUCAGCCAUGCCUUCCAGGAUACGUGUACCACCAGUAAGGAUGUAAAAAUCAAGCUUCUGCCCAUACUCGUAUGGGAGGGCCCAUGCGCGUAUGAGGCCAGCCAACCAGGCCCCCUUCUGCGCAGCCAGAGCCUUACGUGUAUGGCUCCAGCUACGGCAUACGCCCUACCCUGGGCCAUACGCGUAUGAGACAAUGAAAAAAUAGGUCAUAUGCGUAUAGGUGGAGGCCAUACACGUAUGGCACGACAUAGAUCUUACAAAGCCCAAAUUUUGUCUAUUUAGCCGAAAAAUGCGAAUUUCCAAGGGUUGGAUGAUUUUUUAGUACAGAGAAAGCGUUUUGAAGGUUGGAGCACUGAAGAAUUCGUGGUGGAUCAAGGAUUUCAUGAAAUUUUAUGCUUGAAGACCUCUUUUCUUCCAUUAAUUUGUAAUGUCUAUACUUUCUGUCUUGUUUUUCUUUAUUGUUAUGAGUUGUUAAACCCCCCAAUGAUAUGGGGUGUCCCUGAUUCGGAUUUAUGAUACAGUUCUAAAUUUCAACCUUCUAAUGACUUUGAUUUUGUGA